This 497-nucleotide ribosomal RNA is filed under the name uncultured bacterium. RNAcentral describes it as "partial 16S ribosomal RNA". It matches the Rfam family "Bacterial small subunit ribosomal RNA", at positions 28 to 507 of the family's 1533-position model. The record is from RNAcentral.
GAUGAACGCUGGCGGCGUGCCUAAUACAUGCAAGUCGAGCGAACAGACGAGGAGCUUGCUCCUCUGACGUUAGCGGCGGACGGGUGAGUAACACGUGGAUAACCUACCUAUAAGACUGGGAUAACUUCGGGAAACCGGAGCUAAUACCGGAUAACAUGUUGAACCGCAUGGUUCAACAGUGAAAGACGGUCUUGCUGUCACUUAUAGAUGGAUCCGCGCCGCAUUAGCUAAUUGGUAAGGUAACGGCUUACCAAGGCAACGAUGCGUAGCCGACCUGAGAGGGUGAUCGGCCACACUGGAACUGAGACACGGUCCAGACUCCUACGGGAGGCAGCAGUAGGGAAUCUUCCGCAAUGGGCGAAAGCCUGACGGAGCAACGCCGCGUGAGUGAAGAAGGUCUUCGGAUCGUAAAACUCUGUUAUUAGGGAAGAACAAAUGUGUAAGUAACUAUGCACGUCUUGACGGUACCUAAUCAGAAAGCCACGGCUAACUACGUG